GAGGCCUCUGGGAGCGAUUGUGCUAGUUCAUCCAUGCUGCAAAUCUAUGGAGGUCAAAUGAAACUACAUCACAUCAGUGAUUGUUCCUUAAAGCCUCAAGCUGAAAAGCAGCCGGUCAAGGGAAGACAGCAACAGAGAAAAGGCAGAACACAUCAUGGUUAAUUUGAAUGAGUCGUCACUGAACACCACAAGAACAACUGCCUGCUCCUCCAUUGAGAUGCAAUGAUUCCUUCCCUGUGACUCUGCUGCAAUGAAGCCUGUAGUCCUAUGGUUAUAACAGAUCUUUGUGCUUUCUGCUGGUGAGGAUUCCAGCUCCCUUGUGGAAAAAGAAAAAGAAGUGGUCUUCUAGUACUGAAAGAAGCAUUCCCAAACAAUCCCACCAUGGUUAACUCCUGGCUCUGCUCUGGAAAAUGAAGGUAAAGAACAACCUGUAUCUGUAUGCAUGCAUCAUAUAGAAGAGUCUAGCAGACAAUGUAAGGAAAACAUUUAACUAUACAAAGGAUGUUGUCUUACUGUCUGAAAUGUCUCUGAUUUUAAUGUGUCACUGUCUAAGAUGUCUCUGAUUUUAGUAUCUCACUCUCUGAAAUGUCUGAUUUUAGUAUCUCACUGUCUGAAAUGUCCCUGAUUUUAGUUGCUGGACGUUAAGCAACCAA
Long non-coding RNA from Melopsittacus undulatus (budgerigar), 653 nucleotides. RefSeq lists it as uncharacterized. NCBI's taxonomy places the organism in Eukaryota, Metazoa, Chordata, Aves, Psittaciformes, Psittaculidae. The transcript has 3 exons. The record is from RefSeq and is a predicted model, not a curated record.